AUGUGUUUCUCAGCUCCCCGCUGCGCCCAGCCUGGGCCCCGGGGCACCCUUUUAGGAGGCCGUCGCCGGGCAAGGCGACCCCCACCAGCGCCCGGGGCUCCCGGGAGCCCCUUAAAUGGCGGCCGCCGGGCUCCCGGAGGGGGCAGGCCGACGACGACCAUGCCGAGGGAAGCCGUGCUUCUGCUGGCCUGGCUGGCCUUGCUGCUGGCCCUCCCGGCCCCACUGCUGGCCUUCCCCAGCGCAGCGCCAGAUGUCACAGCUUCCUACCCGAAGGACACAACCACAGAAGUUACUGGUGAAGUGACCAUCAGUGAAAGCAGAGGCCGAAGGAGUGAAUACACACAGAUACACAAGGUCUUUUGUGGCUUGGAUUCCCAAGUAUAGUUCACGGUUGGUCAGCAUGCUCACCAGCUGCAGUUCAUUCCUGGGGACAGCAGUGUAGCACAGAUGUGGGAA
Long non-coding RNA from Anser brachyrhynchus (Pink-footed goose), 456 nucleotides. Lineage: Eukaryota; Metazoa; Chordata; Aves; Anseriformes; Anatidae. The record is from Ensembl.